GCAAAAAUCCAACAUAAAAACAAAAUUAUAUUAUUUAACGAACAAAAAUUGGGUAAUAAAUUUCAAGUUCAAGAAUUGAAGAAUAGGGUACAAAACCAGAAAAGAAAACACAAAUAUCACUUUACAUCAAACAAUCCUAAAAAUUGAAUAAUUUUUUCUUAUUUAAUGAAAACAACCCAUUAAAGAUAUUAGACAAACAGUUCGAAUUUCUGUCAUUUCUUGAAGUGCUUAACCUUGUACCAUCCUUUCUUGCAAGAAUCCCCAACAAUCUUGAAACCCUUUUUGAAUAUAAUCUGGAGCUCCUUUGCUCUGUCCUUUACCUGAUUCUCGAAGCCUCCCAUUUUUCCGAAACAAACACAGUAUAGAGAGAGAGAGAGAGAAGUUUUAUUAUAGUAGAGAUUUGAGCUUAAAAGUGAUAAAUAAAAAUGGUGGGAUUGAGGUUUAUAAGGUUGUAGGAAAGUGGUGGGAUCCAACACACAGUGGGGACGUGGCUGUAAUCCAGUGGAUUUCGUCUGUAUAGAUCUAAUCUUUCGUAUUUGUGACGUUGAUUGCGGGGAUAAUUGAUAAGAUUCAAAUAUUCGAAGGCCAUGUUUGGCUGGAACAAUAGCUUAUAAGCACCUUUGAAACUUUACACAAAUAUGGACCCUUUUUUUGGGUCCAAUCAUGAGAAAGAUGUGUCAAAUUCAGGCAGACCACCAACUCACCCGUUAGUAAUUAAUUUUGAUUACAUAUUUGAUGAAAUUUAUAAUUUUUCAAUAAAAUAUUUUAUUAAUUUCUAUCAAAAUUUAUUAAAAAUUUAAUUUUAAUUCUUAUCAAAUAGGAACUUAGUUUUAGGGAUGGAGUGUCCAAAUAAUUAAUAACCUUUAUAAAUAUAUUUGAAUAAUUUGUUUUUAAAAGACUUAUUACAUUAUGUCAACAUAAAUAACUUAUUUAUCUUUAAUAUGAUUAACAAUAGAUUUUGUUACUAAAUUUUUUUGAAGUAAUUUUAUUUUGUAAAAGUAAAGUUAUUUCAUAUUUUGAUAAAUUAGAUUUCUUAAUUCUAAGUAGAAAGAAACUCUUAUUUAGCCCUCAUUUGAUUUUCAUUAUUUGCUCAUUAAAAUGAAAAAUAUGAUCUUUAUCCAUCACAUCAAGUCACCAUAUUUGAUUUUCUAUCUUUUGUGUGGGUCCCGUAACGACUAUAUUUUUCAUUUUCAUUUUUACAUUAAUGUGUACCAAACGGGAUCUUAAUCUUGAUUAAUAAAAGAAUUACUUAUUUCGACUUAUAAGCCAGUUGUCUUUCAUUUUCGUGUAGAUUUUAUUUGUAUUUUAAUAAAAUAAUUUUGAACAUAAUCUCAAAUAGUCAUCAACAGUUGUCAAUUACUUCACGCCAGCAAUUAAUUUUGAGAAAAUUGAAGUUGACUAUUAUAUUAAUAUUUCUUUCUGUACAUAAAUAUAGUAAAUUAAGCUUUAAAGUCAAUAAAUUUCAACCACAUAUUUUAUAGGAUUUAUAUUUUUUUAAUUAUAUUUUUCAUCAACUUUUAUCAGAAUUUGCUAAAAGUUUAAUUUAAAUUUCCAUCAAACGGGGGCUAAUUAUUUUUAAGUUGAAAGGAACUUAUAAGUUAAAACUAACAUUCACAGACAAGGCGUAAAUUUACAGGUAAUUGUUAAAAAAUAAAAAAUAAAAAAGUCAAUUCUAUAAUCUUAAAAGUAUUAAUGUGCAUUAAUUUUCCAAAAGAUAUUAUUUAAUAUUAACACGUACAAAAUUUGAACUGGAAUGGCAAAUUCCACGGUGCCACCGCAGAAACCUCUGGCAUUCUGUCGCAUCAGAUGGGUCAAAUGUGCCUUGUGAAUAUAAUCAAUUUUAAAACUAAUACACUGUUUAGCUUUCUUUCUGUUUGUUUCUUCAUACAAAUUCGAUACUUCGCCACUGUUUGGCUCCCAUUACAUGAAAAAAUUAAUCAGUGUAACAGUAUUUUUCUGAAAAAUGAAUUGUUGAAAAAGAAGGAAAAUUUUUCGAUUUACGUAUAAUAUUAUUUUAUAGAAAAUUGUGUGAUUAAAAAUAAGAGAGAGAAAAAUGAAAAUGUAAUGUAAUAUAAAUUAAUGGGGCGAAACAAUAGAUGAGAAUAUGAAAAUUAAAAGACGUCUAUAUAAAGAUAAUAUCACUUAUGAAAAAAAUGAACGUCAAUCAUAAUAUUAUUUGUUUAUUCCAAAAUUAUAUACUCAUCAAUGUUUGAAUAGGAGAAUAAUUAAAUGGAAAAUUCUAUUUGUACAUAAUUAUUACACAUAAUAGUGUCAAUAACGUGAUGUGGCAAUCAUCCGAUCAUUGAUGUACAAGUGUGAAAUUUGAAUUAAAGGUUGGAUCCAGUGCCACGUGUAAUUAUGGACACCAUUAUAUAGACAAUUAUAUACAUAUAACACUUCCCUAAUUAAAUAGGGACAAAAUAUCUCAACUCGACUAUAAUAGUAUAUAUUUGCAUAAUCCAAAUAUCCAUUCACAAUUUGUCCCCAAAUGCAUAUUUAAUAUCUCGUUCCAUCAAAUUUUCUUAACAAACAAAUAUUAGUAUUAGGUUAUGUUUGAUUUGAUUGCACCCCAAUUCCAUGAAAAAUGGAAAUCAAAUUCCAUCUUUCCAAUUUUUUUGUUAUUUGAUUGGCAAAAUUUUCUCUAGAAUUCGAAUUCCACAUUUUACGCCACAUAAGCUAAUUUCUAUGUUUUCCUUGAAUUCCAAUGGUGAGAAUUGGAAUUCCCGAUUAUUGUAGCACUUUUUUUUUUCGAUUUUUUUGGUUGCAAUGAAAACAAAUUCUAAAAAUUAUUGUAAAAAAUUAUUUCAUUUUAAAUGACAAUUUUCAUGUAAAACAAAGCCAAACGAAUACCAAAAGAUAGAUGAUUUUCUCGAAAUUUUUUUAUUUGUGUUGGCAAUGAAACAAAUUUCAUCCCUAAUACCAGUAAAAUCGAUCCCUUUAAUUGACAAUUUUCAUGUAAAACAAAGCCAAACGAACAUCAAAAGAUAGAUGAUUUUCUCGAAAUUUUUUUAUUUGUGUUGGCAAUGAAACAAAUUUCAUCCCUAAUACCAGUAAAAUCUAUCCCUUUAAUUGAUAAUUUUCAUAUAAAACAAAGUCAAAUGGAGUAAAAAAACACUUUUAUUUUAAUAUUUUUCACAUGAAAAAUUAUUCCAAUCAAAUACAAUAAUUUAAAAUUAUCAUGAAAAUAAUUUCUAGACAAUUCAAUUCCCUAGAAUUCAUUUCAAUUCAAUUCAAUUCCAUCUUUACAAUCAAACGGCCCUUAGUCUUUAUUUAUUUACUGAGAAGAGGUGAAGUACCAAUAUAUCAAAAAUUUAUUGAAGGAAUAAUUAACAACAGAAAAUUCAGGAGAGCAUAUAGAACUGUAUUCUUUAACCCACUUUGCUUUUUUUUUUUUUUAAGGCAGAUUCCAACUCCAACUGUAUUUGAGUGUCACAUAGAAUGUGACUGUGACUUGGAUGUAAAGACAGAAUAUUAUGAAAAGAAUUAUUGGCAUUCAAUGUAUUCCAUAUGCCAAGUCAUAAUUCUGUCUAUGCUCUCACAUGGAACUUCAAAUUAAAGUGAAGCAAUUCCAUAGUAAACGCCAAGAGCAUUUGGAAUAUUUUUGGUAUUUUUAGUUAAUUUUCUUCAUUUCUUAAAUAUAAGAGAAUCUUUUGUAUACAAAGUUGGAUAGAAUGAAUUUCUUUAGAAGAAUCCUAAACAAGCAAAGUCAUCGAAAUUUUUUAUUAAAAUUAAAUAUAUUUUUACUUCGAUUUAAAUUUUCAAGAUCGUCAAUGAAAUUUGGAGAUUCUCUGAAUCAAACUGAAUUACAAAGGCAUUGAUAGUAUUCUUAAUAAGUGCAUGAGGAAAACUAUUAAUUUCACAUCGAACAAAAACGGAAACUAAUAAGAGAAAUUAGCUACUCCAAGAUUCCAUGUGUGAAUCGAAUUAUCUUAGGCCAAUAAGAUGAAAAGUAAGUGAGAAUCUUAAGUUAGAAAUUAGUUCUUAAGAAUGAGCAUUCAAUAAGGAUAUUACACUAAUCAUAGUAUAAAAAAGGGGGAAAAUGUUAUCAUAAUUCAUGAGUGAAAGUUACGCUAUAAAAGAUCUCAAUGAAGACAUUUAAUGAAAAUUCAAAAAAUGAUAAAAGUUAGUGCGUCACAUAGAAUAGGCACAAUAACUAUGAAAAGCAAGUACAUAAAAUAGAAUAUGCAUUUUUUAUGCAUGAUUGAACCCUAAAUACUUGAGCUGAUCAGAUUUUUGGCAAGGGAUUAUUCGCCUAGGUGAGUCUCAGAGAUUAAAGCAAUAAAAAACAUAGAAUAAACCACGUUUGUUGAGAUAUUGACUUGCAUUGGUGAAAUCUAUCCAAACUAGAGAAAAUGAUCAGUACCAUGAAUUCAACCUUAGAAUAUAACUUGAAAGAGAAUUAGAUGAACAAGCUUGUGAGUGGCAUAGCUUACGAGUGAUGAAAUAAUAUAUUUGACUAUUGACGGUUGAGAAUUGAAUCAACUUGUAAAUUUAUGAUAUUAUACUUGAUUACUCACACACUCCCAUCAGUUUUACAAUGAAUAAGUAGAAGUUGAUUUUUGUAUUGUCCUUUUGAAUCUGUCUAUAGAUUUGACAUAAGAAAUCCAAUACUAAGACAAAUGACUAUCUAUCUCAUCAAUUUUGUUGCAUGCUUGUUAAGAUAUGUGUAUAAUUGUAUUUGAGAAUCAACAAUUUGUUGCACUCAAAUAUUCAACAACAAAAACUCAUUUGAUUCAGCCCAUGCGACUGCACAUAGUUAUUCCAUGCGAUCACAUGGGCAUUUUCCGUCGACGCUUCUUUGUUUGAAACUCCAUUUAGAAAAUACUUCAAACACAGUUCUUGGCCUAAUUUUAGCCUCCGUAAGUAUAGAACAGGGCCAACAUUAAGGAGUCUUUCAUAUCAUAUGUAACAUACAAUCUUGCAAUUAAGGGAGGCCAAUCUAUCAUACUUUGAGGAGGAGAGCAAGUUUAGCAAAAAAAUUGAAGGCAUUUAACGUCAAGAAGUUGGAGAACCAAAACUUGGGAUUGAAGAUCAAGAACAACAAAUAGAUUCCACGUCUCCUUGUAGAUAUACAUUUUGGGGUGAUGACUUUUCAAUCUUUUUUUGUGUAUUAUCAUUAGAAACGUGUUAGGCUAAACUUCAUUGUGUUGGGAUGAAGAUGAAAUCUUUUAUUUGAUUAUUUUCAAUUCAAAAUUUUUUUAGUUAAUUAAUUUGUGUUCUUGAUUGAUCUUGUAUGCAUGAGAUGUUGAAUUACUUGUAUGUUUGCGGACCAUUUUAGUAAUUAGUUGCUUAAUUUGUUUUCCGGAGGUUCAUGAUGGGCUUAGAACAUUGCAAUAAUCGUAUAAUUGAAUGCUUUACUUUGAAUAUAAAUUUAGGAUAAAGAUAUUAUCGAGUUGUGUUUAGAAUAUGUUUGACUUAGCUCAGAAGAGAUAGUUUCUACCAACAAGAAGAAGAUAAGUUGCUAGAGAGCUACUCCAUUUGCAAAUGUUCGAGGUAUAUAGGCGACAUAAGUUACAAUAGGAAAAUUUGUUCAACUCUGAUACACUUAUCUACGAGUAAUGUUUUUUUAUUCCAACUACUAAUAUCACUAUUUCCACGUUACGAGAGAUUUUGAUCAGGGCUUCCUUCCUCCAAAGUUAGCAGUAUCUCUAAUCAUGCCUCCAAUCUAUGAACCGUUUCCUCAUGCAUAUGAUGGGUGUUUUGUACCAGUUUGCUAUGAAUUAGGCAUUAGAAAUACUCGAAAAUCAUACAUUUAGGGGGACAACGCGAAUGCCUAUUGCUAAAAAAAUUCAAAGCUGGUAUCAUGAAAGGAGGAUGGUCACGUUAGCUGGUCCAUCGAUGUCGUCACUAGUGUUCUCCUUAUAUCUCUUGGAAAUUUUGAUAUUGACCGGUCAAUUGUAACGUGAACUACAUUGCACUGAAAAAUGUUUUUUGUUCAUUCUUUGUCACCAGUAGAAGUGGAUGUUAUAUCAUUCUAGAGUUGUUUUUGUCGUUGUUAUGAUGUCUUAUUGAAAUAGGAUGCAAUAAGAAAAUUGUAGGAAAGAGGAGAAAAGAGGGAGAAAAAAGAGAAGAAGGGGUAGAGAAUAGAGAGAAAUAGGGGGAGAAUGUUAAUUCAUUUCAUAAUUAAAGGUUGUUCUAUCACAAAGUAAAAGACCCUUUUAUAGAAGGUUUAAAAUAGUGCUAAUUUAAGCAAUAAAUUAUUAUAAAAUCAAUGAAAUCAAAACAUUUAUUAUGUUUCCUAGAAUAAAUAUCAAAAUUGAAAACUAAAUUUAAUAAUAUCUCUUUAAUAUUGCAACAUUUCUCCUCGACUAAGAGAACUCGAUUCUAUUGAGGUAGACUAAAACUUUGUACUCCAAGGAGACCUAUCUUUUGUCUUGACGAAAUUCUUGUAUUGAAUCUUGGACAACAUCAUUCCAUGGAACUCAAACACAAAGGAGGACCAUCCUUCCUAUAAAUAAAAUAACAAAACUGAUCAUGUGACAAUUGAAGCUGCAGUUCAUCUCCAAGAAUAUGAUCGAAAUAAGGAGAACAAUCUUGGUUUUUAACAAAUAUCUCCAUGGAACUCCAAAAAUCAAAAACUCAUGCUCAAAAUCUCUAAUUGGUUGUGCAUAAUAAGGAGCACAAGGAACUGCCACUGCAAACUGGCCUGUAGGAAAAAUUGAUUCCAACAUCGAAAGCUCGAAUAGGCCCCAAUAAAGAAACAAUUCUUCUAUAUUGCAAGCAUAACUCUUAUUUUAAGUGUAAUGGUCAGUCAAAUAGAAAUUCUUUAUAUAAAUGUUCCAUAACUCCUUUUUGAACAUGUUUAGGAAACCGAAACAAAGAAUAAUAAUCAUUAGUGUCUCCUAACCUAUGCUGCACAUCAUAAGCAAGUUCAAAAAUUUCAUGAUUAAAAAUGAUUUGCCUUUUUAUCAUAGCAUGAAAUUUAAAAACAUUGACAACAAAAUGAUGAGGUAACACUGCACAUCAAUAAUUAGUAGGUAGCAUCCUAAUAUCAAUAAGAAAAAUGUGCAAUCAAAUAAUGGCCUUGGAAACAAUGUGGUAGCCUGAGGAAUAUCAUGCAAUUGAGAUAAUGUAACAAUAAAAUCAACUUUAUGGGUACACUCAGAAGUAGGCAAAUUGUUUGGUUGAGGUGGAACUGGCAAUACUAACGAUAAUUCGUCAACUAUAUCAUUGUUAAUUAUGCCAAAAGUCAUUAGAGGGGACACGUGACAAUGAUCACAACGCUUAUCCUCACUAUUAGAAGAGUUAAUUGGUUCAAGAUUAAAAAUCACAUUGUCUUCUUCAAAAAGAGGUCUAGCACAAUUGGACUUAUAAAGCGAACAGACUUGCCUGUCGGACUUUUUACAUAAUUGACGAAGUCGAAAAUAUGUGUACCAAUGGUUGGCUAGAAGGUAAGCUUCGUCUAAGGAUUGAAGUUCGGGAAUGUUAUCAGGCAAAAUUUUAGGAUUUCACCCGUUGAUUUUAUUUUUGCAGGCUUGUCUAUCGUUUUAGUGCAUCAUGCUCCUCAUGUGGAAUACGUAGUACAUGCAUAAGUUGCACAUGCUGUUGCUCACUGGGCCCCUUAUCAAUAAUUGGUUAAAAAGAAAGAUCAUCCCCCUUAGUCAGUUCAAAUAUUUACAUUCAGUUUCAGUUGUUGUCAGAUGAUUGCGUCCAUUGUCUGAUUGGGAAGAAAGAUCACCCUCAUUGGUUAAGAAGUUGCAUUCUAUCUCGUUAGAGUCGAGUUCUCUCGAUUAGGGAGAAAUGAUGUAAUAUUAGAAGGAUAUUAUUGUGUUUAGUUUUCAAUUUUAAUUUGUAUUUUAGGAAACAUAAUUAAAUUAAAUUUAGAUUCUUUUAUUAUAUAUUUCUUACUUAGAGUAGGGUUUUUUGAAAAUCUAUAUAAAGGGGCUUAUGCGAGUAAUGCUAACAACUUGAUUAUACGAAAUAAAUUGAUUUCUCUCUCUAAUUUUCUAUCUUCUCCUCUUCCCUUCUUCUUCUCUCUUUCUCUAGGAAUGGCAAUUGGCUCGCCAACUCGGCCCAAAAAAAGCCUGAACUAGCCCGUGUGGCUCGCCAGCUUGAGUUCAUGGGCCUAUAUUUAAAAAUUUUAAAAAUUAAAAUUUUUUUUAAAGGCUGCUUUGUUUUGCUUGUUGCCUUUAUUUAAUAUGAAAAAACCAAAAUUAAAAUCGAGUCUGUUAAGCUCGGCUCGGGUUCCAAAAAAGCUCGAACCAUUUUACUCGAGCCGAGCUCGAGACUCGAGUUAGAAAGGACCACACAACUAUUGAAACCUAAUAUACCGAAGCCAAAAGUGAACCUCUAAAGAAAAUUUCCCUUUUUUUUUUUCUUUUUUCUUUUUCUCUCACCUAAUUUGAAUUCAAACUAUGAACCCGUCAUUGUAGAUUUCGAUGUGGCAGUGUUUAAAAUAUCCAAUUUUCAAAAUAUAUCUAAAAUGAAGUCACUUUAAGUAGGAUGCUUGGAAAGUAGUGACUGAUAAGUUCCUCUGUGACCAUUUAGUUCUUGAUUUUGAAAAUGGAACAUGGGCGCAUCAUUUCAUUUUGGAAUGUGUAUAAAUACCUUAUUUUUAAAAUUUAAUUUAUACAACAUACUUUUUCUAGUUCGAGGAGCACGUCUAGGGAUGUCUAUGAGUCGAGUUGAGCCAAUUCGAUAGUCGAAACUUGAGGUUCGAGCUCGUCUCGGUUAAAAUAGUCGAGCUUUUUUCCGGGCCCAAGCCUGGCCGAGCAAAAGCUUGCCCAAAAAUUUUAGGCUUGACCCGAGCUUUCAAUUAGGGGCCUUUCCAAGUAGGGCAAGCCCGUUUCUCUCUCUCUCUUUUCUUUUGCUUUUUCUAUAUUAAACUGGUUGCCUAGUUUGCUGACUUUUUAAGGUAGUGUUCGCUACAUUUUAAUGCAACUUACAAGGGAUUUUUUUUAAUUAUUAAAUAAAGGCACACAGAUCGGCUCGGGCAAAGCUUGUAUAUCAAACAUGGGGCUCGGGCUUUUCCCGGGCCAAGCCACGGACGGCCCGAGCUGAUGAGCCCGAUUGACAUUCCUGAGUGCACGUCUCAUUUUUGUAAUUCUUGACUUGGAAGGGAAUACAUCUGAAUUAAUUGUUUUUGCAUUAUAAUUAAUGUGAAAUCUUUGAUGGCAUGUUUUUUAGUUGGUCGAAGAUAAUUAUUUUCCUUUUUCAGUAGAAUUUUUAGUUCCAUGUAAUUUUAUAGUAGAUAGAAAUCAGGGUUGUAAUCAAAAUCUUGGAACUCAAGCAAGAUGAAGAAUUCCUAUAGCACCACUACUAUACAAUUACCUAAAUUUCGUUUGUUAGAUAAAAUAUUUAAGUUAUGCUAAAUACAUAGUUAGUUUGACAGAUGAUGAGGUGACAUUCAUUUUGGUCAUCGAUUUAAAAAUUCAAAUUAAGGACCAAAAUGUAUGCCAUCUAAUCAUCUGUCAAUAAAGGUGUAAACAUUAUCUGCAUAAGUAGCUUAAUUGAAAUUUUUUUUCUUUCUUUUCAUUUUUUUUUUUUGAACGACCCAGGUUAGCUAUACCAUGCAACACCUACAAGGUUGUUGUAGAUAACGAGAGUACUGUCAUGGCCUUCCCCAAUGUAGGACUAGCAGUUGGGUCGGGCCGGGUCGGGUCUCUUCCUUACUAAUUUCACGUGGACUUAAUUGUCCUUGUUUGGCAGUGGAACGGGAAUAUUUGGACCUCAAGUGUCAAUUCAAUGAAGGUAGGCCCAUGGGAUUGUUGGACAACUACCAGCUCAAUGCGAUCAAAAUCUUGAGCACAAAUUAAAGAUUGAUGGGAAAAAAAUCACAUAUUGAUAUGGGGGAAAAAAAUCAUAUAUUAGGCCUUAACUAUACUAAUUCAAUUUUAAGAGAAAAUAUUUAAUAUUCCAAAACUUAGAGGAUAUAUGUUGUAUAUAUAAAUAAAAUUCUAUUAAAUUAAAUCUCUAAAAUACACAAUACCAUCUAACAAAAGAGAAAAGCCAAGAAGAUCUAUUAAUUUUCGAUUACAUCACUGACAUCUGGUUCAUUAAAAAUGAUUGGACAAAUAAGGUUACAAAUUGGAAGUUAUCGUCAUAGUAGAUCAUAAUUUUUGAAGGUGGCAACUAGCAUUGCAGGGUUGCUAUAUUGAAUUGAUGGUGAAGGGCAUUGAAUUAGAUUUGAAAGAUUUCGUAUUCACAAUUUUUAGCAACUAACAUUCUAUUGCUAGUGCAUCUUCCUAUUUUGGAUUUAUAAAACGGUGUUAAAGCUUUAUUGCUGUGAGGAAAAUUGAAGAGCUUUAUUGUCAUCGAUAUGUGAUAUUAUGAUACUGUUUUAUGUUUAUGACUUGUUUCAACAGCUUACUGCAUGAUCAGUCACAUUCGGGUAAUGGCUUACAUAGUUCAUAUAAUCAGUCACAUUCACAGAUUCACAUAUUGUGGCAUAUUCGGACAUGCAUGUACCUGUGACCUGAAUCUAUGACCCAGAAUGAAAAGCUUUGACAUGCAUCUAAACCAUGUGACCUAUGUGUUUGUCAACAAUUAUUUAAAUCUUAUUAGUGUAUGCACAUCUCUGUGUCUUGAACUCAAUCUACGUGGCAUUCUAACCUAAAAAGUGAUCUACAGAAAGAAAUGCGCAUUUGACAUCUUCGUUGGUCACAAUCUUAACUUGACUAAAGUAUUUGGUCUUCAAACGUGAUGGAUUUUUUUUUUUUUCUAACAUAUCUAUAUCACCGUUGCCAAAAUAUCCAAGGUCGGUAACUAAACAGAACUCCAGAAGCGAGAAACUAACAAAUUGGUAAACUAUAUUGAACAACACAUUGUUUUCAUUCAAAUAUUGCAUCUGCCUCAGCAUAAAAUAGUGAAACUAUUGUGGUUGAACCACAAUUUCAUGACAAUUCAAGAAGUGCGAGAAACAUGUAUCCUGCAGUAGAAGCUGUUGGGCUUCGUUAAUAUUUGUUUUGAAAUUUGUUAGAAUAGCCUUUGUUAUUGGGGUUUUUUUUUUUUAAAAAUUCUUUUUUUUUUGGGUUUUUUUUUUUUUUUUUUUUUUUUUUUUUUUUUUUUUUUUCAAGAAAUCAUCUUCUGGGAUUAUAUACUUCCAUAGCUACAUUAUUUGUUUAGAUCAAAACAAUGUUGAAAUUAAAUUUGAAUGAUACAUGAUUACAAGUCACAGCAAGCAUGGUAGACAAUUAGGCCAAUCGAGUCAUAUAUAUAACAAAUCUAGUCACAGCUUUUGGUUGUCAACAUAAUGUCACAUUCGGAUUCAUGCUAAAAUCAAAUGAAAUACAUUUCUAAAUCAAAUAACAUCAAUUCUAAACAUGUCCUAAUGAUAUAUUUGUUGUUAUGCACAUGAUUCACAUUGAUCACAUAUGGAUGGACAGGUCACAAACAACAAAAUUUAUGUCACAAUUCAUUCCUAAAUCAAUCAACAUCAAUUUCUAGAAAACAACACUUUCAAAUAACGGCCUUCACUUAAUUAAUUAGGUACUAAAUUGAACCGAACACAGGUCACAAAUAUCGAAUACAUUGACAAUAUAUGUCACCCAUCAAUUUUGGCUCACAUAAAUAGAUUUCAAAUAAAAAAUGAAUUUUAUUAUUAUUAUUAUUUUUUUUUAUUGAAAAUACCUUGUUCGAGGUCCAUUUUGUGACUAAUCAAGAAGUUUUGUGUCUUUUUUUAUGGAGAUUCUUUCGGUAUGUCUCUUCCUUUCUUUCACCUCUUCUAUUUGGGGCUUCACUACCUUCUUCCCUGUUUUCUACUCCUUAAUCAAACCAUUUUACCUGGGUUUUAGGGUCUAUAGUUCUUAUAGAGGAAAAUAGAGAAUAUGAUGAUGUGUGCAUAAUAGCAAGGGCAUAUAUGGAUAAAGGUGACAACAAGCUCAGCAAAGGUAUUUAUUGAUAACGAAGGAAUGUUAAAGGUGGUUUCUGUACGUGGGCUGAAGGUGCUUUUCGAAAAAAUAAGGCAGUGAAAAUGUUUUCCAAUUUUGAACCACUUAAAUUAAGGAAUACACCCAUAAUUAAAUUUAAUAUUUAAUAUUUAAUUAUUAUAUAUUAAACAUCUGAUUUAUGAAUAAUUAAAUCUUAAACCUGAUUUUAGAACUACACUCUUUAAAAAUCGGCUGCAACGUAAUCUCCACUAUUGAUAUAGUUCAUAUUAUAUUCUGACAUUAAUAAAUAUUAAAAGUGCUAUAGUAGGAGUGGAAAACACCAAAAAUAUUAUUUUUGAAACUUUCCCUUAAUCACAAUUGUAACUGAAAAUUGGAUUUGCUUACAUUACGCCAUUAAUUGAUUAUAAUUGCAAAAAAAGAUGAAGAUAUAUAUUAAAACUAGAUUGUAUCGCUGCUAUAAUGAUGAGAAGUGGGAUUCCAGCUCUGUUCAACACUGUCUGAAUCAGAAAUCAACAACAAUUCUUUACUUUUCAAUCUUCAAUCAUUUACAUCGUCGGGUAUUCUAGGUUGUUAAAUUUAAUAUUAUAUCACCUAAAUUCAUAUAUCAAGAGGAUCAUAUUUUGGGUUGGGUGAUAUAAUUACAUCUCUCAAUUCGAUGUGGAAUCAUUGUAUUGUACAACCAAAGUAUUUCUUUGGAUCUCAUUCUAUCUUGUACAACCAAUAAUCUACUCCGAAAAUAUCCUCUAUGACAUGUCAUUUUCCUAUAAUAAAACUGGGCAAUUUCUUUUAAUGUGUUCGCCAUGGUCACAAUAUACAUUAAUCUCUCUAAACUUUAAACACUCAUCAAGAUGAGAUCUUCUAUGUACUUGGAAAUAUGGAAAUCUAGAGCUUUGGAACUCUCAUCUUGUCCCGAAAUAAAUAAUCUCAAAAAAGAUGUUAAGUAUGAGGACAGAUACUCAUUGGUAGUUGUACAAUAUUGUGAUUGAAUCUAGAUCCUUGACUUCCUCGUGAUCUGGGCUUGAAAUGAACUUGAAGUGGACAUACCUAGUCGAGAUCCUCUAUUAUUCCUCUGUGGUGGUCUAUAGCUAAACGAUACAAUUAUAAUUUAGUUAGAAUCAAUAAUUAUAUAAGAUCGAUCAUCUAUUGAAUGUGCUCAUCUUAAGCUCAAAUUGAUCGAAAUUAAUCUAAAAUCUAAAUCUUCCUGGUAACGAUAUUCUUUACAUAUCUUUUAUUAUUACUUGUCAAUGAAUUUGUAAGCUUGAAGAAUUUGAAUUGAACAAAUUUUUAGUGCCGUUCUCAGGGAUAAUGAUAUGCAGUUUGAAUUUGAUUAGUUCAUGAUUAAAUUAGAAUUUUAUUUGUUAUUUUAUUUUGAAAAAUUUUAUUCUUAUUCCUGUUGAUACUCUACUUUAUUCUAUUUGAUCUUUUUGGGCAUUUGUACUAAAUGUAUGCUAAAUUUGGAAGAUCUUGACCUCCUACUAUUUGAUCUUGAGAUCUAGAAAACCUUUAGACAUGGAAAAAAGGAUCAUAAAGACAUAAGGGUUCAGGCAUUUACUACCAUGAGUGGAGUUUAGUUACCUGAAAUCAAUGUCAAAAGACAUGCAGUAUCAAAUGAAAAAGUACAUAUUCAACACGAGAUAAUGGACCAGUGUAAAUGAACAGGAGAUAUGAAUCCAUAUUAGAAUUCAAAUACUCCACAAGUUAAGACAACUGUUCCUAUCAAAGCAUAUGUGGCUACUAUAUUUAUUCCUCAAAAUUUAUAGGAGACUAAGCUGGAAAAACAAUUUGUAAAGAUCUUAGAUCUUUUCAAGAAGAUCAACAUCAAUAUCCCAAUAAUGACGAUAUAUUGAAAAUCUCGAGUUAUGCUAUGUUCUUAAAGAAGAUACUAUAAAAAAGAAGGCUUCUUGAAUAUGAGACACUAGCUUUAAAUGUGGAGUGUUGUGCCAUACUGCUCUAAAUAUCACCUCCUAAAUUAAACGAUCUAAGGAGUUGUAAAUGACCUUGACCUAUAGAAAUGAUUUGGCCCACAAUCUUUGCAAACUAGUGUUUGAACAAAAUGUUCAUUAUUUGAGUGAGGUUGUCCUUUUUCUUUGUCAACACCUCCAAAUAAACAAAAAAGGUCAAUUUUCAUGCAUUAUGAUGGCUGUUGCUCGUCAUUUCCCACGCCUUAAGCAAGGCACUCAACUAUUGUUUUAUAUUUACAAAUUUAGCUUAAGCUAAAACCAUAUUUUUAGUCACGAUUUGACCAUAUAUUUAAUAAGAUUCACUAUUUCUCAACUAUACAUUCCAUCAAUUUUUAUCAAAUUUUAUUAAAAAUUUGAUUUUUUUUUUUUUUUGGGGAAUUAUCAAAAAUGUCACUUUUUUUUAUAAUGCACAAAAAAUUUGCAUGUACACCUAAUUUUAUCAAAAAUGUCAUUUUUUUUUGUAAGAAAUGUCCAACUUACCCUUCGUGUUCCCUUUUUAGGAUCAUUUAGGGGAUGUUCUUUUUGACGUUUUCGAGCCGUUUUCUAUUUUCGAUUUUUCAAAACGUUGAAAACGCGUUCUCCUUCCCAUUUUUGAAAACGUGUUUUCCAAAACAAAAAAAAAAAAAAAAAAAAAAGAGAAAAAAACAAAAAUUAAAAAAAAAAAAAAAAAAAAAAAAAAAAAAAAAAAAAAGAGAGAGAGAGAGAAG
Molecule: long non-coding RNA, 14496 nt
Filed under: Olea europaea (common olive)
Lineage: Eukaryota; Viridiplantae; Streptophyta; Magnoliopsida; Lamiales; Oleaceae
Description: long non-coding RNA (OEUR_LNC007874)
Source: RNAcentral